This 762-nucleotide ribosomal RNA is filed under the name uncultured Thermoplasmatales archaeon. RNAcentral's name for it is "bacterial SSU rRNA". It matches the Rfam family "Archaeal small subunit ribosomal RNA", at positions 156 to 921 of the family's 1478-position model. The record is from RNAcentral. Lineage: Archaea; Methanobacteriati; Thermoplasmatota; Thermoplasmata; Thermoplasmatales.
AGAUAUUCAAUGCUGGAAGGCUUGGAUAUCGAAAGCGCAAGCGCCAGAGGGUGAGUCUGCGGCCUAUCAGGUAGUAGGUGGUGUAACGGACCACCUAGCCUAAGACGGGUACGGGCCUUGAGAGAGGGAGCCCGGAGAUGGGUUCUGAGACACGAACCCAGGCCCUACGGGGCGCAGCAGGCGCGAAACCUUCGCACUGCGCGAAAGCGCGACGAGGGGAGCCCGAGUGCCUCUCCAUUUCGGGGAGGCUUUUCACAAGCCUAAAAAGCUUGUGGAAUAAGGGCUGGGCAAGACGGGUGCCAGCCGCCGCGGUAAUACCCGCAGCUCGAGUGGUGGUCGCUUUUAUUGAGCCUAAAACGUUCGUAGUCGGCCUUGUAAAUCCCUGGGUAAAUCGGACCGCUUAACGGUUCGAAUUCCGGGGAGACUGCAAGGCUAGGGACCGGGCGAGGUCAGAGGUACUUUCGGGGUAGGAGUGAAAUCCUGUAAUCCCGAAGGGACCACCUGUGGCGAAAGCGUCUGACUUGAACGGCUCCGACGAUGAGGAACGAAGGCUAGGGGAGCAAACCGGAUUAGAUACCCGGGUAGUCCUAGCUGUAAACUCUGCCCGCUUGGUGUGGCUUGUACUUCGGGUGCAGGCUGUGCCGGAGCGAAGGUGUUAAGCGGGCUGCUUGGGGAGUACGGCCGCAAGGUUGAAACUUAAAGGAAUUGGCGGGGGAGCACCGCAACGGGAGGAUGCGUGCGGUUUAAUUGGAUCAACGCCGG